Bombus pascuorum is the source of this 1433-nucleotide long non-coding RNA. RefSeq lists it as uncharacterized. The transcript has 3 exons. The record is from RefSeq and is a predicted model, not a curated record. NCBI's taxonomy places the organism in Eukaryota, Metazoa, Arthropoda, Insecta, Hymenoptera, Apidae.
GAACUACCGUAUGUAGAAACGCAACAGCAUACAGUAAAGGUGGCCACUGUGACUGCGUACUGUAAUCCAACGUGUCCUGCGUUACGCCUUGAAUUGGAUAUUUAUAUACUUGGAUCAGAUAGAAAUGUGGGGUAAUGGACAAAUAUAAACUGGAAAUAUUAACAGCAAAAUACAUAUUGAAAUAUCUGGAAAAUAAGACAUAAUUUUCUUUAUCAACAUUUGAACAAAAUUUGCCCAAGUAUCUCUAUCUAAUCUAAUUAUAAAUAACGUGUUUUUAAAUAUUUUAUAAAAUGACAAUUACGUUUCUUUACCUGCGUAAAAGAAUCUGUAAAACAUUGACCAAACACUUCUUGCUCCAAAGGUGUUCGACUUUUCAACCAAGCAGUCACCACAGGACUCCAGUCCAAUCCUGAUGAACUCAUGUACACCAUUCCAUUACGAGAUACCGUAGCUGGACUUGCAUUGUCGACAUUAUGAGGCUCAAAGAUGAUUUUACAAUUAGAUGACAUCGAUAAUCGGUCACCGUUCGCAAGAGUCAGAGUUUUAUUGUCGUCCAGUACAGAGUUUAAGUUCUCGAUCCAGAUACUGUCAACAGGUCCGUCAAGCACCAUCCAUACGUACUCUCCUUCUUUUAAUUUCAAUGUUUUGCGCCAUAAAGCUGAAAAUAUUCCAUCCGUCCAAUCGUUGGUCGCCACGUCCAAUCGGCCAAACAUUUGAGCAGCUGUUAUACUUUUUGGGUUCAUUCUCAUCUCUCUGUAAAAUACGUUCCUGAUCAUUGACCGAGUUAAAUCAUUUUAAGUUAUAUUAUUUGGUGAAAAAACAAUUUUUAAUGAUGAAUAAUUUUUAAGAAUGAAUUUUUAUGUUGCCAUAUAAAUUAUUCGAAAAAUAUUUUUCAGUGUAAUUACCUAUGGGAAUUGCCGCACUGCGUUAAAGCUUUCAUCAAAAUAUGUAUACAAGUGGUUUUUCCUGCACCGGUCGGACCUAGGGUCAUUAUUCCAUGUCUUACUCUUUGUGUUUCGUAUAGCUGUAUUAAUUUUAGCACCCACGGUGGAUGGUAUAUCAAUCCAGCCUCUUCUACUUGUUGACUAAUAGCAGCUUCCAACUCUGGAUAAGAAGUCUUUUCAAGAGCUUGAUUUGGAAACAGAUCAGCCACCAAUGAUAUAAAUAAUGGUUCUAAUAGUAGAUAUUCUUAGUAUAGUAAUAAGUAUAAUUAUGUACCUAUGAGUUUCGAAAGAUUCAUAUCUCUUAAAACACGCAUAACGAUCGUACUUUCAGAAUCUUUGGAGUUUACCCUUUUCGACGCGCCUAAUGUUCUUAACACGGACAAUAUGUUUCUUAGACCAAAGUCGUAAUGGACCUUCAUAAAUGAACAGGAUGUUUAUUGAAAGUACAAUUUAGUUAUUGUGUUUUUAAAUAAAUUACCUGUUUUGUAA